This 468-nucleotide ribosomal RNA is filed under the name uncultured bacterium. RNAcentral's name for it is "partial 16S ribosomal RNA". It matches the Rfam family "Bacterial small subunit ribosomal RNA", at positions 28 to 507 of the family's 1533-position model. The record is from RNAcentral.
GACGAACGCUGGCGGCGUGCUUAACACAUGCAAGUCGAACGGACAGGCCCUGCUUUUGCGGGGUGCUCGAGAGGCGAACGGGUGAGUAACACGUGAGUAACCUGUCCUUGAAUUUGGGAUAACUUCAGGGAACUGCGGCUAAUAUCGGAUAGGAGAUCCUGCUGCAUGGUGGGGGAUGGAAAGAUUCGGCGGUUGGGGAUAGACUCGCGGCUUAUCAGCUUGUUGGUGGGGUAGUGGCUUACCAAGGCUUUGACGGGUAGCCGGCCUGAGAGGGUGACCGGCGACAUUGGGACUGAGAUACGGCCCAGACUCCUACGGGAGGCAGCAGUGGAGAAUAUUACACAAUGGGCGGAAGCCAGAUGCAGCAACGCCGCGUGCGGGAUGACGGCCUUCGGGUUGUAAACCGCUUUCGCCUGUGACGAAGCGUUAUUGACGGUAAUGGGUAAGGAAGCACCGGCUAACUACGUG